GAGCGCAAUAGAUAUCGCGUUGCACUUCAAAUCCAAAGGUCGUGGGCUCAACUCCCACCUGAAAUA
This is a non-coding RNA of Trichonephila clavata, 66 nucleotides long. NCBI's taxonomy places the organism in Eukaryota, Metazoa, Arthropoda, Arachnida, Araneae, Nephilidae. The record is from the annotation of a GenBank genome assembly.